RNAcentral lists this ribosomal RNA (253 nucleotides) under uncultured bacterium. RNAcentral's name for it is "partial 16S ribosomal RNA". It matches the Rfam family "Bacterial small subunit ribosomal RNA", at positions 524 to 776 of the family's 1533-position model. The record is from RNAcentral.
CACGUAGGGCGCAAGCGUUGUCCGGAAUUAUUGGGCGUAAAGAGCUCGUAGGCGGUCUGUUACGUCUGCUGUGAAAACCCGGGGCUUAACCCUGGGCUUGCAGUGGAUACGGGCAGACUAGAGGCAGGUAGGGGAGAAUGGAAUUCCCGGUGUAGCGGUGAAAUGCGCAGAUAUCGGGAGGAACACCGGUGGCGAAGGCGGUUCUCUGGGCCUGACCUGACGCUGAGGAGCGAAGGUCAGGGGAGCAAACGGG